ACACCAACUUGUUUCAAGUAGCGCAACAGCUCUGGGAAAUCAGUUCAAUUUAGCCAUGCCUAGCUGGAGCUUCUCCACAAAGAAAGAGACCUCCUUAAUACCAGCUUAGGAAGCACUCCCGCCUUCCUGUCAACCACAGUUCUGUCUCUAUUUGAGCACACCUCAAGGCAUUUAAAGUCUUCUCCUUACGGCAGCCAGCUGCGAUGCAUUUAAGCACCUGAUUACAAGGGUGCUCUUGCUAAAAGGAGCAAUGACAAAGAGAGACUUCCAGUGCAGACUUUGUUAAGAUGCUGCAAUCUAAUUGUGGGAAAGACACUUGCUCCUGAGCAGAUUCGAGCUUGGGGAUGUGUUGCUGUCACACCAACGAGUCUGCGGUGAGUUUCAAAGAACACAUUAUACUGACUAGUUGACGACUUAAAUUUACUCUCUCACUUCCAGCGUUCACUGCGAACGCUCACACACUCAAGCAGUUUGGCCGUGUUUAAAACCACAUCUGGCAGCGUUGGGAUUCGAACCCACGCCCCAGAAGAGACUGGAGCCUAAAUCCAGCGC
Long non-coding RNA from Danio rerio (zebrafish), 552 nucleotides. Lineage: Eukaryota; Metazoa; Chordata; Actinopteri; Cypriniformes; Danionidae. The record is from Ensembl.